RNAcentral lists this ribosomal RNA (253 nucleotides) under uncultured bacterium. Its description in RNAcentral is "partial 16S ribosomal RNA". It matches the Rfam family "Bacterial small subunit ribosomal RNA", at positions 524 to 776 of the family's 1533-position model. The record is from RNAcentral.
UACGGAGUGUGCAAGCAUUAAUCGGAAUUAUUGGGCGUAAAGGGCGCGUAGGCGGAUUUGUAAGUCAGAUGUGAAAUUCCGAAGCUCAACUUCGGAGCUGCAUUUGAAACUGCGAGUCUAGAGGAAUGGCGGAGAAAAUGGAAUUCCACGUGUAGCGGUGAAAUGCGUAGAUAUGUGGAAGAACACCGGUGGCGAAGGCGAUUUUCUAGAUUUUACCUGACGAUGAGGCGCGAGAGCAAGGGGAGCAACCAGG